AGUGGCGAACGGGUGAGUAAUGUAUCGGAACGUCCCUUUCAGUGGGGGAUAACGUAGCGAAAGUUACGCUAAUCCCGCAUAUUCUGUGAGCAGGAAAGCAGGGGAUCGCAAGACCUUGCGCUGAUUGACCGGCCGAUAUCAGAUUAGCUAGUUGGUGAGGUAAAGGCUCACCAAGGCGACGAUCUGUAGCGGGUCUCACAGGAUGAUCCGCCAACCUGGAACUGAGCCCCGGUCCAGACUCCUACGGGAGGCAGCAGUGGGGAAUUUUGGACAAUGAGGGCAACCCUGAUCCAGCCAUGCCGCGUGAGUGAAGAAGGCCUUCGGGUUGUAAAGCUCCUUUCGUCCCGGGAAGAAAUCGCAUCAGCUAAUACCUGGUGUGGAUGACGGUUGGGGCUAGAGUU
RNAcentral lists this ribosomal RNA (401 nucleotides) under uncultured bacterium. Its description in RNAcentral is "bacterial SSU rRNA". It matches the Rfam family "Bacterial small subunit ribosomal RNA", at positions 94 to 492 of the family's 1533-position model. The record is from RNAcentral.